RNAcentral lists this ribosomal RNA (465 nucleotides) under Vreelandella stevensii. RNAcentral describes it as "partial 16S ribosomal RNA". It matches the Rfam family "Bacterial small subunit ribosomal RNA", at positions 338 to 795 of the family's 1533-position model. Lineage: Bacteria; Pseudomonadati; Pseudomonadota; Gammaproteobacteria; Oceanospirillales; Halomonadaceae. The record is from RNAcentral.
CCUACGGGCGGCUGCAGUGGGGAAUAUUGGACAAUGGGGGGAACCCUGAUCCAGCCAUGCCGCGUGUGUGAAGAAGGCCCUCGGGUUGUAAAGCACUUUCAGUGAGGAAGAACGCCUGGUGGUUAAUACCCAUCAGGAAAGACAUCACUCACAGAAGAAGCACCGGCUAACUCCGUGCCAGCAGCCGCGGUAAUAUGGAGGGUGCGAGCGUUAAUCGGAAUUACUGGGCGUAAAGCGCGCGUAGGUGGCUUGAUAAGCCGGUUGUGAAAGCCCCGGGCUCAACCUGGGAACGGCAUCCGGAACUGUCAAGCUAGAGUGCAGGAGAGGAAGGUAGAAUUCCCGGUGUAGCGGUGAAAUGCGUAGAGAUCGGGAGGAAUACCAGUGGCGAAGGCGGCCUUCUGGACUGACACUGACACUGAGGUGCGAAAGCGUGGGUAGCAAACAGGAUUAGAUACCCUAGUAGUC